AUUAUUGCUCGUUUUUAUUGCAACUUUAUCUUUCAAAAUUGUAAAAAUUAUUUUGGAUUUUUGUCUGUUGGUCUAGAUUUUUUUUUGUUUAGUUUCAAACAAUAUUUUCUGUGGUUCACAGCAAAUUUGUGUGUAUAGAAUUGGAAAUUCAAUUUAGAAAAUCAUCAUCAUAAUUAUCGAUGUUUUUGCCAUUCAUCCACACAUAUACCGCAUACCCACACACACACACAUACAAUGCAUAUUGAAUAAUGUCAAACAACUCUCUUUUCUCUCAAUUUCUAUUUCCAUCAACAACAACCAAAAAAAC
This is a long non-coding RNA of Dermatophagoides pteronyssinus (European house dust mite), 307 nucleotides long. NCBI's taxonomy places the organism in Eukaryota, Metazoa, Arthropoda, Arachnida, Sarcoptiformes, Pyroglyphidae. The record is from RefSeq and is a predicted model, not a curated record.